GCCAGGUGUGGUGGCGGGCACCUGUAAUCCCAGCUACUCGGGAGGCUGAGGCAGAAGAAUCACUUGAACCCAGGAAGCAGAGGUUGUAGUGAGCCAAGAUUGCGCCAUUGCACUCCAGCCUGGGUGACAGAGUGAGACUCUGUCUCAA
Molecule: unclassified non-coding RNA, 148 nt
Organism: Pongo abelii (Sumatran orangutan)
Lineage: Eukaryota; Metazoa; Chordata; Mammalia; Primates; Hominidae
Rfam family: Metazoan signal recognition particle RNA
About the family: The signal recognition particle (SRP) is a universally conserved ribonucleoprotein. It is involved in the co-translational targeting of proteins to membranes.
Source: Ensembl